This 91-nucleotide non-coding RNA is filed under the name Variovorax sp. Sphag1AA. The record is from RNAcentral. Lineage: Bacteria; Pseudomonadati; Pseudomonadota; Betaproteobacteria; Burkholderiales; Comamonadaceae.
AGUUUUGGCGGCUCGGAUGGGAGGCCCGUGAGGGCCUGCCGGUUUCCGCAAGGAUGGCCCGGUCUGCUAACCCGUUCGAGUCGCCGCCUCC